AACGAACGCUGGCGGCAUGCCUAACACAUGCAAGUCGAACGAGACCUUCGGGUCUAGUGGCGCACGGGUGCGUAACGCGUGGGAACCUGCCCUUAGGUUCGGAAUAACUCCCCGAAAGGGGUGCUAAUACCGGAUAAUGUCUUCGGACCAAAGAUUUAUCGCCUUUGGAUGGGCCCGCGUUGGAUUAGCUAGUUGGUAGGGUAAAAGCCUACCAAGGCGACGAUCCAUAGCUGGUCUGAGAGGAUGAUCAGCCACACUGGGACUGAGACACGGCCCAGACUCAGAGGGGGGGAGGGGGGGGGUAUGAGUGAAAAAGGGGCGAAGGCCUGACCAAGCAUGGCCGGGGGAGGGAGGAGGCCGUGGGGGUUAAAAAGCUUUUUUACCCGGGAUAAUAAUGACAGUACGGGGAAAAUAAGCCCCGGCAAACUCCGUG
RNAcentral lists this ribosomal RNA (433 nucleotides) under uncultured bacterium. RNAcentral's name for it is "partial 16S ribosomal RNA". It matches the Rfam family "Bacterial small subunit ribosomal RNA", at positions 29 to 507 of the family's 1533-position model. The record is from RNAcentral.